GAUUGCCUCAGUAACGGCGAGUGAAGCGGCAACAGCUCAAAUUUGAAAUCUGGCCCCAGGCCCGAGUUGUAAUUUGCAGAGGAUGCUUUUGGCGAGGUGCCUUCCGAGUUCCCUGGAACGGGACGCCAUAGAGGGUGAGAGCCCCGUACGGUUGGACACCAAGUCUUUGUAAAGCUCCUUCGACGAGUCGAGUAGUUUGGGAAUGCUGCUCGAAAUGGGAGGUAUAUUUCUUCUAAAGCUAAAUAUUGGCCAGAGACCGAUAGCGCACAAGUGGAGUGAUCGAAAGAUGAAAAGCACUUUGAAAAGAGGGUUAAACAGCACGUGAAAUUGUUAAAAGGGAAGCGCUUAUGACCAGACUUGCGCCCGGUGAAUCACCCAGCUCUCGCGGCUGGGGCACUUUGCCGGCUCAGGCCAGCAUCAGCUCGCUGUCGGGGACAAAAGCUUCGGGAACGUAGCUCUCUUCGGGGAGUGUUAUAGCCCGUUGCAUAAUACCCUUCGGCGGGCUGAGGUACGCGCUCCGCAAGGAUGCUG
Molecule: ribosomal RNA, 531 nt
Filed under: uncultured fungus
Lineage: Eukaryota; Fungi
Description: eukaryotic LSU rRNA
Rfam family: Eukaryotic large subunit ribosomal RNA
Source: RNAcentral